Molecule: long non-coding RNA, 1799 nt
Organism: Mauremys mutica (yellowpond turtle)
Lineage: Eukaryota; Metazoa; Chordata; Testudines; Geoemydidae
Exons: 6
Source: RefSeq, a predicted model, not a curated record
GCAAAUAUAGUAAAUGCUUACAGAAUAUAGGAGGGAAGCUUUAGGUGGGCUUUAAGGAAACUGAUCCAAAUGUGAAGAAUAUAAUUACUGCAUGCUUGUUAUGCUCUGAAUGAAUAUUCAUCUGACCCAAAAAAAAAAAAAAUCACAACAAAAAAUCCAUAGUUUUUCUUUCUGUUCUUAACAAAUAAACAUUUUAGGAGUUCAGGUUCCAGAUCCUUACCUUAUUAUUUAAAAGGUGAAAUGAUGGUGAGAUGAUGGUGAAAAAAUGGAACCAAGAAGCACCGUACUGUUCUUCAGUUCUGCAGUUUUGAGGAAAAACUGGAUCCUGGAAAUUUUACUUACGUUCUGAAGUACAUUCAUAUUGAAAAAGAAGUUAAAUUGUGUCCAAAGAGAAUCAUAUUUGCAGAACUGAUGCAUCAUUGCGUUCAGUCAAGUCAUUUCCGAAGAAACCUAGUCACAUACUAAUCAUGAAAGUCAAGGUGACCCUUAGCGAGCACCUGAGUCUGCCUGAGAGUUUGCAGUGCACAAUGAAGCCUACUUGUCACUGGAUGGAAGCAGCAGCUUCUAAAAUGGAGUGGUUAGACACCAAAUUGAAAAUGACUUGGCAGCCAGUGUUAUGUGGGGGAGAAUCAUUCCUUGGAAGACUUUUUCAAACCGCUGGACAUUGGAACAUACUAGUAAAUGCAGAGCACAUCCGCUUUUUCACAAGACAUUCCAAGAGUUUGAUUGGUAGACAACAGUUGCCUUGCUGGAAAGGAAGAAGCCAAGAAUCACAAUAGCAAUUGCAAGGAAGGGGAGGAUUCAGCUACAUCUGAACAAGACGUUGACGGCCUGCUGCCAGAGUUGCGUUCAUUUUAGUGUAAUACUAGAGAGGUUUUUCAGCAUCAGUGACUGAUGAACUCAGAGCGGAGUCAAGUUUAAAGAAACCUGUCCACCCUAGCCAUCCCAAGUAGCUUUUUCUUCACCCGCCUGACAGUGGCAGCAAAUACUUUUGUUACCUGACCACUGCUAGUAUGUUCCCUCCCUCAGCAGCUCCCCUAGUAAAAAACUCCCUCACCUUUACCUCUGUCCUUUUCUUCCCCCCACUCUUCACAUGGCUCCUGAUGUGCUUCAAGAACUAGUGUCUUUAUUUUCAGGCGUGCAACAGUUGUAAGCAUGGUGGAUCCUGGUACCUUUACAGAAUCAGGAAACUAUCUCACACACAAAAGUGCUUCCCCCACCUUUUUGCCUGUGAAAUAAAGUGAUUUUCAGACCCUCAUAAGGGUUUAUGAUGGUAGAGGGGAAAAAAGGAGUGACAACCGUGUAAGAACAUUGUACCUUCUCCUUUCACUAACAAAAGAGUGUGUACACACUUUUGAAACCUGAUCCUGCAAGAUGCAACUGGAAUGAGCAGUUUGCACCACACAAGAGCAGUCCUUUGGUGAACCCUGGGCACCUACUUACCUACCAGCAGUGUCAGAUUGCACCGUUGAUCUACUACUAUAGAAACGUAAAGGGACUUUAGAGCAUAAUUUAAGAUGCAAUGCAACUAAUGUCUAGUUAAUCAGUAAAAUGUACAAUUACAAGGCAAUUUAAAUGUGUUUGUUCGGCGGGAUCCUAAGACAGUAAAUUUUCUAUUGCAAUCAUAUCCAAAGAUGAAACUGAAUGAACUGCAAGCACUCAAACUGUAUAAAGACUUUUAGUCAAGCUUCAUCAAUGUGUUCUCUAGCAUGGGCGCCAACUUAUAUGGGCUCGUGGAGCUAAAGCCCCAGGAAUAUUCAAAAUCAGGGGCUCUGCUCCACCAAUAUUUGGAGCUAGGU